RNAcentral lists this ribosomal RNA (434 nucleotides) under uncultured bacterium. Its description in RNAcentral is "partial 16S ribosomal RNA". It matches the Rfam family "Bacterial small subunit ribosomal RNA", at positions 27 to 507 of the family's 1533-position model. The record is from RNAcentral.
GAACGAACGCUGGCGGCAGGCCUAACACAUGCAAGUCGAGCGCGCCCUUCGGGGUGAGCGGCGGACGGGUGAGUAACGCGUGGGAACGUGCCCUUCUCUGCGGAAUAGCCUCGGGAAACUGAGAGUAAUACCGCAUACGCCCUUUGGGGGAAAGAUUUAUCGGAGAAGGAUCGGCCCGCGUUGGAUUAGGUAGUUGGUGGGGUAAUGGCCCACCAAGCCGACGAUCCAUAGCUGGUUUGAGAGGAUGAUCAGCCACACUGGGACUGAGACACGGCCCAGACUCCUACGGGAGGCAGCAGUGGGGAAUCUUAGACAAUGGGGGCAACCCUGAUCUAGCCAUGCCGCGUGAGUGAUGAAGGCCUUAGGGUUGUAAAGCUCUUUCAGCUGGGAAGAUAAUGACGGUACCAGCAGAAGAAGCCCCGGCUAACUCCGUG